AGGGGAAGAAGCCUUCGUCGCCACUGGGGGAGGCGCCCCCCGAGAGCAGCCCCGAUGGGAAGCUUGGCCCUUCCGGGGAGCUCAUGGUGCCUUCGGCGUCUGUGGGCACAGGUGUCCAAGCCCAGCCCUACCGCGGGACCCAGUAGUCGCCGUCGUCCCAGCGCAGCGACGACCGGGGACCGGGAGUCUCCGUGACGAGGCCCCUGUGGGCGCGACCCCGCUCUGGAGACCCGGGAGCGUCCCUCCUCCUCCCGCCUCCCGCGCAUCGAGCUGCUGUCUAGCAUGUCGGCCCGGGCGUGUGGCCCCGCCCCCGGCUCCUCGACCCCCCGGCCCGAGGCGGCCACCUUCCCCCCUUGCCGGCGCCCCCCGCUUGCAGACCCCAGGACUCGGCACCCGCCACCCCCGGCGCCCGCUCGUCCUGGCCCUGUCCUGCCCGAAACUCGAAGGGUGCCCGUGUCCGGCGCCCCUAGGCUCCUACCCGCCGACUCCGGGCUCCCUCCGAGGUCCCCGCGGUCCCCGAUCCCCUCUUCCGGAGGCGGCGCCAGGUGCCAGGCCCGCACAGAAACGACAGGCCCCAUUAGUGGAGCACCUGCUGUAUGCAGACCCCACGCUGAGCAUGGGCGUCCGCUCCUUUCCCCUGACAAACCCGCCCUGUGGGAUAGGGAAUCGCUAAGAAUGACAACAGCAAGGACACAUCCGACCUACCGAGCACUCUGCUAAACGAGGACACUGAGGCUGAGGGAGGCUGUAGCUUGCAUGGGUUCACACCGACAGAACUUGAAUGUGAAGCACAGAAGUGUGACUUCAGGGCGUGUGCUCCUGCCCUGGUUCCCGUGGGGCUGGGAAGCUGGGGCUCUCCCUUUCGAGGUUGCAUGAGACUCGACCCCACGCUCCAGGCCAGGGCCAGAGGCCUCGGUAUGGACACCAGGAGGAUCCAGGGCCGGGCCCAGCCCAGUGCGGCCCAGACACGUGGGGGACGCUCUGGCCGCGGCCUCGUGUCCGGUCACGAGCCUCCUCAGGUGUCCGGGGCUCCCUGCGCCGCUGUGGCAGAGGCUCCUGGCCUGGGGAGCGGGGACACGCCCGGCGCUGGAGGAGCAGUGGGCUGGGAACUGCUCAACAGCAGACUUUCUGGGGAAACAGAAAGCCCCAGAUGGUUGCACGUGGCACUUUCUGGGGUAGAAGCGCUCCCUCCGUGGCUGAUGUCCAGCUACCGACGUGACAUUGUUGAGUGUGAAAUUCGGCCGAGAUGUGCAUUAUUGGCGUUUCUCAGCUGGUCCCAGCUGCGUCCCACGCCCCUCUGGCUGGCGGCCAGGACUCCUGGGUCCUGGGGACCGGAUCCUAAAGAAAUCAGAGGAAGGUGGCUUCUGAGAAAAACGGGGGGCAAGGACUCGUGGGAGGAGUGGCCUAGAGGCUGGGACUCCCGAGUCCCAGAUUUGGCUUCAGGCCAAAUCCCAGAUUGGCCGCGUUUUAGCUGUGCGCACCUGUGUCGUUUAGCUGAUGAACCUCCGCUGCCCUCGCCUUUCCCAUCUGUAAAACGGGGGAGAUAAGAGUUCCUAGCUUAUAGGGAGGCUUAAAUAAGGGUCAAGCGCCAGCACUUCAUCCUGCUAGGGGCCCUCUGAGUGGCCGUCGCCGGGCCAUAGAAGUGACUCACCACACACGUUCCAGUGUUUUCCUCCCCACGGCCACCCUGACGUCAUAUCCUUCGCAGACCAGAAGCCAGCUCAGGGAGGCCCAGUGAUCUGCCCGUGCAACUUGACAUCAUCAGACUUUUAAAUUUCUGCCAGUCGGGGGGCACCUGGUCACUCUUUGGACGUUUGCAGGAGCCCCCUGCUUCCUCUGGACCCAGGAAUUCUGGCCUCCAGCUGUCCUGAUGGACCGGAGGGCUGACUUCACAGGCCCCCCACUGCCCUCUCCCAGCCUCCCUGCUGAUUCCAGCAGGAAAAUGGAUAGCAGGGACAGAGGGGCCCCAGGGACGCCCUAGCCGGGCUGGGAUAUAACCAGUUAAGGGAGGGAAAGACAACCCAGCCCUCAAACAAGCCAGUUUCCUGGAGCCUCCGGGCUCACUCUCACCCUAGAACUUUCUCCCCACCUUCCCAACAGCAGGUGGGCCCCUACAGUGCCCAAUCUUGGCUCCAGGGUCCCCUCGCAGAGCUGUGGGCGGUCCACGCUGGCGUCCAGAGGCCCGAAGAAUGCCCCCUGCCAUAGAGGUAACCCCGUGGGAACGGCGCGGGUCCAGACCAAGGUGCCUCCGGGCUUUUACGACAUAUACAAAGUCUGAACAGUAAGUGGUAUUGUUUGGAGCAUUUUAAACCUCUGUAUAAAAUACUGCACACUCAAUA
Long non-coding RNA from Leopardus geoffroyi (Geoffroy's cat), 2339 nucleotides. RefSeq lists it as uncharacterized. The transcript has 4 exons. The record is from RefSeq and is a predicted model, not a curated record. NCBI's taxonomy places the organism in Eukaryota, Metazoa, Chordata, Mammalia, Carnivora, Felidae.